GUUGGUGGGGUGAUGGCCUACCAAGGCGACGACGGGUAGCCGGCCUGAGAGGGCGACCGGCCACACUGGGACUGAGACACGGCCCAGACUCCUACGGGAGGCAGCAGUGGGGAAUCUUGCACAAUGGGCGAAAGCCUGAUGCAGCGACGCCGCGUGAGGGAUGACGGCCUUCGGGUUGUAAACCUCUUUCGGCCCCGACGAAGCGAGAGUGACGGUAGGGGUAGAAGAAGCACCGGCUAACUACGUGCCAGCAGCCGCGGUAAUACGUAGGGUGCGAGCGUUGUCCGGAAUUAUUGGGCGUAAAGAGCUCGUAGGCGGUUUGUUGCGUCGGCUGUGAAAACCUGCGGCUUAACUGUGGGCUUGCAGUCGAUACGGGCAGACUUGAGUUCGGCAGGGGAGACUGGAAUUCCUGGUGUAGCGGUGAAAUGCGCAGAUAUCAGGAGGAACACCGGUGGCGAAGGCGGGUCUCUGGGCCGAUACUGACGCUGAGGAGCGAAAGCGUGGGGAGCGAACAGGAUUAGAUACCCUGGUAGUCCACGCCGUAAACGUUGGGCGCUAGGUGUGGGGACCAUUCCACGGUUUCCGUGCCGCAGCUAACGCAUUAAGCGCCC
RNAcentral lists this ribosomal RNA (611 nucleotides) under uncultured bacterium. RNAcentral's name for it is "bacterial SSU rRNA". It matches the Rfam family "Bacterial small subunit ribosomal RNA", at positions 248 to 869 of the family's 1533-position model. The record is from RNAcentral.